AGCUCCAACAGCGUAUAUUAAAGCUGUUGCGGUUGAAAGCUCGUAGUUGGAUUUCUGCUGAGGACUGCCGGUCCGCCCUCUGGGUGAGCAUCUGGCUUGGCCUGAGCAUUUUCUUGGAGAGCGUGGCUGCGCUUGACUGCGUGGUGCGGCAGACUGUUACCUUGAGGAAAUUAGCGUGUUUCAAGCAGGCAUGCGUCCUGGAUACUUUGGCAUGGAAUAAUGUGAAAAGGCACUGGCUCUGUUUUGUUGGUUUCCAGAGCUGAGGCAAUGAUUAACAGGGACAGUUAGGGGCAAUCGUAUCUAACUGUCAGAGGUGAAAUUCUUGGAUUUGUUAAAGACGAACCACUGCGAAAGCAUUUGCCAAGGAUGUCUUCG
RNAcentral lists this ribosomal RNA (375 nucleotides) under uncultured eukaryote. RNAcentral's name for it is "SSU rRNA". It matches the Rfam family "Eukaryotic small subunit ribosomal RNA", at positions 587 to 972 of the family's 1831-position model. The record is from RNAcentral.